GAUGAAGAACGUAGCGAAAUGCGAUAAGUAAUGUGAAUUGCAGAAUCCAGUGAAUCAUCGAAUCUUUGAACGCACAUUGCGCCCGCCAGCAUUCUGGCGGGCAUGCCUGUUCGAGCGUCAUUUCAACCCUCGACCUCCCUUUGAGGAAGUCGGCGUUGGGGACCGGCAGCACACCGCCGGCCCUGAAAUGGAGUGGCGGCCCGUCCGCGGCGACCUCUGCGUAGUAAACCAACUCGCACCGGAACCCCGACGUGGCCACGCCGUAAAACACCCAACUUCUGAACGUUGACCUCGAAUCAGGUAGGACUACCCGCUGAACUUAAGCAUAUCAAUAAGCGGAGGA
This 343-nucleotide unclassified non-coding RNA is filed under the name soil metagenome. Its description in RNAcentral is "partial contains 5.8S ribosomal RNA, internal transcribed spacer 2, and large subunit ribosomal RNA". The stretch from base 1 to 120 matches the Rfam family "5.8S ribosomal RNA", at positions 35 to 154 of the family's 154-position model. The record is from RNAcentral.